UACCAGCACCCCGAGUGGUCGGGACGAUUAUUGGGCCUAAAGCAUCCGUAGCCGGUCCUACAAGUCUUCCGUUAAAUCCACCUGCUUAACAGAUGGGCUGCGGAAGAUACUAUAGGGCUAGGAGGCGGGAGAGGCAAGCGGUACUCAGCGGGUAGGGGUAAAAUGCGUAGAUAUCAGGAGGAACACCGGUGGCGAAGGCGGUUCUCUGGGACGGUACUGACGCUGAGGAGCGAAAGCGUGGGGAGCGAACAGG
This 253-nucleotide ribosomal RNA is filed under the name uncultured bacterium. RNAcentral's name for it is "partial 16S ribosomal RNA". The stretch from base 27 to 253 matches the Rfam family "Bacterial small subunit ribosomal RNA", at positions 550 to 776 of the family's 1533-position model. The record is from RNAcentral.